UACGUAGGGCGCAAGCGUUGUCCGGAAUUAUUGGGCGUAAAGAGCUUGUAGGCGGUUUGUCGCGUCUGCUGUGAAAUCUCAAGGCUCAACCUUGAGCUUGCAGUGGGUACGGGCAGACUAGAGUGUGGUAGGGGAGACUGGAAUUCCUGGUGUAGCGGUGAAAUGCGCAGAUAUCAGGAGGAACACCGAUGGCGAAGGCAGGUCUCUGGGCCACUACUGACGCUGAGAAGCGAAAGCCAGGGGAGCAAACGGG
RNAcentral lists this ribosomal RNA (253 nucleotides) under uncultured bacterium. RNAcentral's name for it is "partial 16S ribosomal RNA". It matches the Rfam family "Bacterial small subunit ribosomal RNA", at positions 524 to 776 of the family's 1533-position model. The record is from RNAcentral.